This 1185-nucleotide long non-coding RNA is filed under the name Carica papaya (papaya). RNAcentral's name for it is "long non-coding RNA (CPAP_LNC004252)". Lineage: Eukaryota; Viridiplantae; Streptophyta; Magnoliopsida; Brassicales; Caricaceae. The record is from RNAcentral.
UCCACUCUCCAAUACCCUCUCCGCUUCCACUCACCGGCUCAAAUUUCUCUGGUUGUUCACCAAGUCAGAGCCUCCUCAGUCGAUGCUCCAUCUUCAUCAGGUCCUCUCUAUAUCCACCUGCAAUAUCUUAUGCGCUAGUUGCUAGUACUUCAAAUGCACUCUCUCUAUUUGACAAUUUAGAACUUUUGUGGAGUGUCCGCUAACUAAAUUUUUGUUAUAAGCAGACAAUGUGUUUAAAAUAACAUUUACCAAGAGUUUUGAAGUGAAUAUUAAUGAAAUUAGGUGGAGAAUCUUGUGAUUGCAAGUGGAAGUAGUAAGUCCAUUAGAAUAACUGAAAAGUUUAUAUAGGUAGCAGGAUUAAUUAGUUUAGUGAGGGGUAAUCUGUUACGAUCAGAAGGUCUCUAAGAAAACCAGCAAAGAAUCCUUGGUAUUUCGAAGUCAACAACAUGGAAAACAAGGGAAAUUGAGCAAGUCGCAAUCCUACAAGACCUCGUCAAGCUAUCAUCUUCUUUUGAUUUUAUGUUAUCCUUUUUAAUGUUAGAAUUGUUAUUUUACCUCCACUAUCCGUUGUGCUCUUGAAUAACAAGAACAAGUUGCUGUAAUUUUUUUGUUUAAGCUUUAUUAGAUUAUGAAUAAAGCAAGUUUCAUUUUACAACAAAUCCUUGUGGUAAUUCUAGCCCUAAAUAGAAACUGAUUCACUUUAAAUUCUUCUUGGUUCUGACCGGGACCUAACAAUUGGUAUUAGAGUCAUGACAGCUAAUAAAGAGAGAAUUGAGAACCUGGAAGCAAGCAUGGGUGGGGUAUAGGACCACCUGAGCCAAAUAGAAACUGGGCUGGCCGAUAGGAUCCAUCAACCUGAAGACACCAUUUGGCGAUUGGUGAAAUCCAUGGUGCUAACCCAAGAAGGUGUCAGUAGCAAUACCAAAGAACUGAUCAAGACCACCACAUUAGAUCCACGAAGAAGAACCCGAACAAACUAAAGGUGGGUCGCCAACUAUUUUAUUCAAAGCUUGCGAAGCUUAAGUUCUCUACCUAUUCUGGUGAUGAUAUGACAGAAUGGUUCAACUGCAUAGAAUAGUUCUUCAACUACCAAGGGACGACUUUCGAUCAGAAAAUACAGCUUGCCUCCUUCCACCUGUAGGGUGAAGCCAACUAGUGGUGGCAGUGGCUUCAUCAGGCUUACAA